GACGAACGCUGGCGGCGUGCUUAACACAUGCAAGUCGAACGGAAAGGCCCUGCUUUUGUGGGGUGCUCGAGUGGCGAACGGGUGAGUAACACGUGAGUAACCUGCCCUUGACUUUGGGAUAACUUCAGGAAACUGGGGCUAAUACCGGAUAGGAGCUCCUGCUGCAUGGUGAGGGUUGGAAAGUUUCGGCGGUUGGGGAUGGACUCGCGGCUUAUCAGCUUGUUGGUGGGGUAGUGGCUUACCAAGGCUUUGACGGGUAGCCGGCCUGAGAGGGUGACCGGCCACAUUGGGACUGAGAUACGGCCCAGACUCCUACGGGAGGCAGCAGUGGGGAAUAUUGCACAAUGGGCGGAAGCCUGAUGCAGCAACGCCGCGUGCGGGAUGACGACCUUCGGGUUGUAAACCGCUUUCGCCUGUGACGAAGCGUGAGUGACGGUAAUGGGUAAAGAAGCACCGGCUAACUACGUG
This 468-nucleotide ribosomal RNA is filed under the name uncultured bacterium. RNAcentral's name for it is "partial 16S ribosomal RNA". It matches the Rfam family "Bacterial small subunit ribosomal RNA", at positions 28 to 507 of the family's 1533-position model. The record is from RNAcentral.